AUUGAACGCUGGCGGCAUGCCUUACACAUGCAAGUCGAACGGUAACGCGCUUUCGGGUGCCGCCGAGUGGCGGCCGGGUGCGUAAUACAUCGGAAUGUGCCCGAUCGUGGGGGUUAAUGAGGCGUAAGCUUUGCUAAUAUCGCCUACGACCUACGGCUGCAUGCAGGGGAAAGCAGGGCCUCGUCCGGCCGGGCCGGCUGAUGGCAGAUUAGGUAGUUGGUGGGAUAAAGGCUUACCAAGCCGACGAUCUGUAGCUGGUCUGAGAGGAUGAUCAGCCACACUGGGACUGAGACACGGCCCAGACUCCUACGGGAGGCAGCAGUGGGGAAUUUUGGACAAUGGGCGCAAGCCUGAUCCAGCCAUGCCGCGUGCAGGAUGAAGGCCUUCGGGUUGUAAACUGCUUUUGUACGGAACGAAAAGCCGUCUUUUAAUACAGGGGGGUCAUGACGGUACCGAAAGAAUAAGCACCGGCUAACUACGUG
RNAcentral lists this ribosomal RNA (482 nucleotides) under uncultured bacterium. RNAcentral describes it as "partial 16S ribosomal RNA". It matches the Rfam family "Bacterial small subunit ribosomal RNA", at positions 30 to 507 of the family's 1533-position model. The record is from RNAcentral.